Molecule: ribosomal RNA, 850 nt
Filed under: Hydrozoanthus gracilis
Lineage: Eukaryota; Metazoa; Cnidaria; Anthozoa; Zoantharia; Hydrozoanthidae
Description: partial small subunit ribosomal RNA
Rfam family: Bacterial small subunit ribosomal RNA
Source: RNAcentral
UAGAGAAUAUUGUGCAAUAUACGGCAGUAUGACACAGAGAGCACACGCCCUCUUGGCCUGUCCAACUAAGUGCCAGCAGACGCGGUUAGACUUAGGGGCCAAGCCUUUAUGAGCAAAGGGGCGUAAAGGGUGUGUAGGCCGACUGCCCCACCCCCCCCAAGGUGGUAAAUGGAAUUUUUCUGUAGCGGUAGAAUGUGCGGAUAGAAAAUAGAACCCCAAAAGCAGAAGCAAUUUACCGCGGGGCGGGAGGGGGGCCCCCUAGGGCGCCCCCCGGGCUACGGGCUGAAACACGAGGGUGUGGGGAACAAACAGGAUUAGAGACCCUGGUAGUCCACACUGUAAACGAUGGAGAAAAUGCGAAUGCAGCCCCGAAAGGCAGCAAUCUCCCGCCUGAGUAGUACGAUCGCAAGAUUAAAAUUCAAAAAAUUUGGCUGUUCACCGUUUCGAUUAGAGGAGCGUGUAGUUUAAUUCGAUAAACCGCGAGAUACCUUACCCAAACUUGAAUCCUUGAGGAUUCCAAGGAAUCCUUAUGGACCGGUAUUGCAUGGCCGUCGUCAGUUCGUGUAUGAAACCUUAAACGGACCCAACCCGAGGAUUAGCCGCGGAUGAAGUCAGGUCUUAUGGUCCCAAUGUUUGGGGAUAAUAUGCGCUACAUUUUCUUAUACAAUGGGAAACCUGGGAGGUGAAACCCAAAAGUGAGAGUUCGGUAGGCUAUUGGAAGAUGGCCGAAAGUUGAAUUUAAUAGUAAUCGGAAAGUAUAGCGUUCCGGUGAAAUGGUCUAGGUGUUAGCACAAAUCGCCCGUCACCUUAACUUAGGAUGAUGGUUCGGACGCCGCCGCGCCCCCACGGG